This 1734-nucleotide ribosomal RNA is filed under the name Cothurnia sp. Its description in RNAcentral is "partial large subunit ribosomal RNA". It matches the Rfam family "Eukaryotic large subunit ribosomal RNA", at positions 114 to 1857 of the family's 3401-position model. Lineage: Eukaryota; Ciliophora; Oligohymenophorea; Sessilida; Vaginicolidae. The record is from RNAcentral.
AUGUAAAUCUGUACACAAAUACAGAAUUGUAAUCUAUGGAGUAGCUCUGAAGGUCAAGGCACGUCAUAAGUUCUUUGGAACAAGACACCACAGAGGGUGAAAGUCCCGUCUUUGGAUGUGCUGAGGCGAUAGGAGAUAUUUCUAAGAGUCGGGUAGUUUGGGAAUGCUGCCCUAAUUGGGAGGUAAACUUCUCCUAAGGCUAAAUAUUUAUCGGAGACCGAUAGCAUACAAGUACUGCGAAGGAAAGAUGAAAAGAACUUUGAAAAGAGGGUUAAAAGACUUGAAAUCGUUGAAAAGGAAGCGAUAGAAGAGAAAUGAAUCACUCAGGAAGUACUGGGGGCUCAUAAGUUCAGGGGUGUAGAGUACCUAACAGGGCUCUUGCCAUUGAAUGAAAGAGGUUCAAGUUUUUCUGGGUGAUAGGCAAAAUUAUAUUCAGCUGCAAGAAUAAGGUAGAAGUUUAUUCGACUACUAGAAGUUGCAGAUGAGUAUGAGGGAUUAGCUAAUGAUUUUGCCAAAAUGGCUUUUAUCGACCCGUCUCGAAACACGGACCAAGGAGUCUACCGCCUAUGCGAGUGUUAAGGUGGAAAAACCUAAACGCGAACCGAAAGGGAUUUAAGAUGUGAAGCGCAAGCCGCAACAUCAACCAAUCUUGAUUCUUUGAUGAAGGACUUGAGUAAGAGCAUAAUUGGUAGGACCCGAAAGAUGGUGAACUACGGUUGAAUAGGGCGAAGUCAGGGGAAACUCUGAUGGAGGCUCGAAGCGAUACUGACGUGCAAAUCGUUCGUCAAAUUUGACUGUAGGGGCGAAAGACUAAUCGAACCAUCUAGUAGCUGGUUCCCUCUGAAAUUUCUCUCAGGAUAGCAGGAACAGAUUAUGCAGUUUUAUCAGGUAAAGCUAAUGAUUAGAGGACUCGGGGUUCCGUGAACCUUGACCUAUUCUCAAACUUUAAAUUGGUAAGAACCGUAAGUUAUCUUAAAUGAACUGGCGGGUAGAAUGCAGUGUUCUUAGUGGACCAUUUUUGGUAAGCAGAACUGGUGAUGAGGGAUGCUCCUAACGUCAAGAUAAGGUGCCAAAAUUCACGCUCAUGAGAUACCAUAAAAGGUGUUGGUUAGUAUAAACAGCCGGACUGUGGCCAUGGAAGUCGGCACCAGCUAAGGAGUGUGUAACAACUCACCAGCCGAAUUAACCAGCCCUGAAAAUUGAUGGCGCUAAGCGUGAUACCGAUACUUGACCAUUGUAGCAAAGAAAAGCUGCAAUGAGUAAGAGGGCGUGAACACUGUAUAGAAGGCUUGGAUGUGAAUCUGGCUGGAACAGUGUUUAGUGCAGAUCUUGGUGGUAGUAGCAAAUAUUCAAAUGAGAACUUUGAAGACCGAAGUGGAGAAGGGUUCCAUGAGAACAGCAUUUGGUCAUGGGUUACUCGAUCCUAAGACAUAGGGAAAUUCCUUGUAAUACAUGUCUUCUUACGAAGGCGUUGUCAAAAGGGAAUGAGGUUGAUAUUCCUCAAGCUGGCUGUGGAGGUUAUAUGGUAACAUAAACAAGCUCGGAGACGUCGGUAUGUGCAACUGGAAGAGUUCUCUUUUCUUCUUAACAAUCUAUCUCCUUGAAUGGUUUACCCAGAGCUAAGGAUAUAUGGUUGGCAGAGCAGUUCACCAUCGAACUGUCAGUGAUGCUCAUAACGACCCUUGAAAAUCCGAGUGAGAUUAUCCUAUCACGCCAGGUCGUACCCAUAACCGC